This 1070-nucleotide long non-coding RNA is filed under the name Ovis aries (sheep). RNAcentral's name for it is "lncRNA (ENSOARG00000025439.1)". Lineage: Eukaryota; Metazoa; Chordata; Mammalia; Artiodactyla; Bovidae. The record is from RNAcentral.
GUUUUUUAUAUUAAAUUUUUACAUCACUUCUUCCUUCUCCUGACCCCUCUUUAUCAAGCCCCUGGUGGCUCAGUUGGUAAAGAAUAUGCUUGCAACGCAGGAGACCUGGGUUCAAGUCCUGGGUUGGGAAGAUCCUCUGGAGAAGAGAACAGCUACCCACUCCAGUAUUCUGGCCUGGAGAAUUCCAUGGACAGAGGAGACUGGCAGGCUACAGUCUGUGGGGUCACAACAUUCACUUUCAGUCUGGUAUUAGAAAAACAAGUGUAUGGAUGUUGUAUAUUUAAUUUUAUGUCCCUUCGUCCUUCUCCUGACCCCCUUUAUCAAGCCCUUUCACCACCUGUAAGAUGGAGUUGAUCAUUUUGGCUCUAUCCUGGAGCACUUUGGGAAAUUCAACACUAUUGAGAACCUGACCCUGGGCAGAGGUUGUGAAGCGCCAGCUACAAACGUGACAGACGUUGUGCUUCAUGGGCUGGACUUUCCCAGAGAAGAACAUCUCAGGGAGAUUCCAGCUUGAGGCACUGGGAAGUGGGGGCCCAGUUUGAGUGGAGAGAGAGGAGGAGAUGGAAGUGGAAGUCCCUUGGCUGUGUUCUCUGUUCUUUCUGCUGUAAGGCAGCACUCUGCACGGCAGGCAGCUUGCCUUGCUUGCCCAUCUGCAAGCUCUCCUUUCUCUCCAGCUGCGCGGGGCUGAGUCCCUUGCAUCACGGUGUGGGGAGGGGAAGGACCGAGCCUGGGGGUUCAGCACCUGCCCGGGCAUCCAUCGGCUCUUCGGCACCGUCCUCAGCAUCAUUUCCCGCACUCGCUGUCCCAGGAGCAGGCCUUAUUCCAGCGCAUCCACAGUCAGACUCAAGGUCCUCCUGCACAGCUGCAGGUUUGAGGAGAAAACCUGCAUUUUUUUCCUACCCUCAAGCCUGAGGUUUCAAGAGUUCAGAGGUUGCAGUAACAAUGGAGAUGCUGCUGGCUUCCGAUGAUGGGCUGGUGGGUAUGUGCUUCUCCUUUCAGGGUAUGAGAGAUGGUGAGACCACAGGAGAGGUCUCUUGUUUGCUGCCUUUUCUCUUACAAGUUAUCUGUCU